Molecule: long non-coding RNA, 5651 nt
Filed under: Nicotiana tabacum (common tobacco)
Lineage: Eukaryota; Viridiplantae; Streptophyta; Magnoliopsida; Solanales; Solanaceae
Description: long non-coding RNA (NTAB_LNC009570)
Source: RNAcentral
UAAAUUAACUAGUCAUAGGACUUCAACUAACUUCAUAUUUUGCUAGGUUCUACUCUUUUCUACUUAAAUAAGGCGUAAUGUUGUUCGUAAUAGCCAAAAAGGCAUUAGAAGUGCUUUUUCUUUUAAUUAUUGUUAUAUUUUUCACUUAGAGGGGAGUUUUAGCGCAUUUGUAAUAGUUGUUCUAGCGUGACCUGAAGGUCGGGGGUUCAAGCAGUGAACAUAACUAAAUAAUUUAAUUUCAAUUUAUUUUUCCUUUGUUUCCCAUAAAAAGUGAUCGACCACAUUUUUUUAAAAGCAAGGAUGUUAAAUAUUCGCAAAAAUAUAAGUCAAAAGUACCCUUCUUUAAUAGCAAAAUCAGAUUAAUGUAAUCUUAACUUGUUGAACUAUAGCAUUAGAUUAUUCUUUCCUUUUCUUUAUGGCUGGAAAAAUCCAAAUUAAACCAAUACUUCAAUGUCAAAUCUGUAUAUCAUAACUAAUAAAAUAAGGAAACAAAACUUCAAUUUCACUCUCAUAAAAAAAACUAAGUCUCUCAAAAUGGCUUAUUACCCUUACACCAAAGUUCAACUUUCAUUACUUAUUUUAUUAUUUAUCAACAUUGUGCAAAUGGCGACGACGACGACAACAACAACAAUAACUUAAAUGGGGUCUGGGGAGGGUAGUGUGUACGCAGAUCUUACCCCUAUCCCGAAGGGGUAGAGAGACUGUUUCCGAAAGACCCUCGGCUCAAGAGAACAAAAGGACAAAAGCAGAGAAUAUUAGUAUCACCACAGAAAUAAUAAGAAAAAAUAUGAACAUGAAAUCCAGUAGAAAGAUGCAAAGUAAAGCGAUAGCUAUUAAAUACGUCAUGCACUGAAAUAGUAAGACACAACAAUGACACUAACUAUCUUAGGUAAAAACUCUACCAGACUAGUCUCGCAAAGGUAUAAGUAAGACAAGACUCAAUUACCUCCUAACCUACAACCUUAAUACUCGACCUCCAUAACUUCCUAUUGUGCAAAUGACAAAUGCUUUUAAUUUAAAUCCAAAAAUUACCCUUAGUUUUAUAAGUGGUCUCCCUCAAAAUACUCCUUUACUCAAAGUUCAUUGUCAAUCUGAAGAUGAUGAUCUUAGAGUUCGUACACUUAAAGUUGGUGACAAAUUUGAUUUCUCAUUUCAUAUGAAUUUUAUUGGGACUACUCUUUACCAUUGUAGCUUUUCUUGGGGUUUAAAGUUCAAUAAUUUUGAUGUUUUUAAACUACAUAAGAGUUAUUGUGGAGGUAAGAUUUUCAAGAAUAUUUAUUGCACUUGGUUGAUCAAGGAUUCUGGUAUUGAUUUGGCUCUUGGUCCUAAUCCUUCACCUAAUGACUUCAAAUUUCUCUAUCCUUGGUUGUAAAAAAGAAGGGAUGUAUUACAUUUCUUUGUUAACUUGGAAAUAUAAUGUCUUUAUAUAUAAGAAGUAAUUUAUCGUAUACUUAUGUCGUAUCGGAGACAACAUCUCUACUUGCACAAGGUAAGAGUAAGGUCUGCGUACACAUUACCCUCCCCAAACCCCACUUGUGAGAAUACACUUUGUAUGUUGUUGUACUUGUAUGCACACACCCCUCUCACUACAAGAAUGACAAAUUUUGUAGCGAUUAAAGCCUCCAGAGAAACUGAAAAAGUCAUCACAAAAGAUUUUUUUGUGGCUGAGUAGGUCGAGGUUGAAAAUUGGGGGGUCGUGCCCUACCUGGUCAGCCUGACCUAAAUUAAGGUCGUUAACUAUGAGAAUCCUUACUAAAUGCGACUCCAUGAAAAGUUGACUCGAAAAACCUCAUUUCUUGUUGUGUCGCUCUAUUAUUCUCUCCGUCUUUUAUACACGUGCAAAUACAAAAAAAGUUGCACAAAUCUUACUUGAUAAAAUUAAUUUGAUUAUAAACGUUUUAGCUUGGUAUGCAAGUGUCAAAUGCUUAAUAACUUAAAUUCUUCUACAUAGUUUAAUCUCGGUCAAGUACCUGUAGAUUGUGAAUAUCUAGGUGUUAAUUUGAGACUAGAUUAGCAUCUGCAACAGAUUUUAAAUUUUCAUAAAUCACUAUAAUUUAGAGCCUAGUAACUUUAUAGUUUGCCUAAUUACCAUUCGUAGUUGCUAGUCAAUUGUUACUAAUUUAUAUCACUUGUAUUCAAACGUGCAACGAAUAUAUCAUGUGUCAACUGUAUUCAUUCGUGCAACGAAUAUAAUGUGUGUCAAUUGUAUUCGUUCGCGCAAUUAUAUUCAUUCGAGCAACAAAUAUAAUAUGUAUCAACUGUAACCAAGGCGAAAUACAAAGGUGUAUACAAAUGAUAUAACUUGUAUCAACUGUAUACUUGGUGUAUACAAUAUGUCUCAACUGUAUUUGUUCGCGCAACGAAUACAAUUGAGGCGAAAUACAGAAAUAAAGAAAAAUAAAAUAUUCUUGUUAAGAGUCAAAUCUCAAGACCUUUGCUAAUUAAGCAGGCGCUCUAACCAACUAAGCUACUAGAGCUUAUUGCUCUCUUGUUUCACUCUUGUUUCAGUUCAAAACAAUUAAGCUCUUAUUUCAUGAAUUUGCUUUAAAAUUAACAUAUAGCUGCAGAUGGUAAAUUUGCUAAAAAUAUAACUACAAAUGAUAAAUAUAGUAUAAAUAUUUAAUGUACCGCGUAAUUUUCCCUAAUUGAAACUUCAGUUUGCCAUUAGGCAAAGUGAAUUGUAUAGCCUAUUGGGCCAAGCCCAAGAAGGCCGAGAAUAAGAUUUUGUAAAACUCAAGCUGGGCCACCCAAGAAGGCCCCGAUCUUGUAAAGCUCAAAGCUUCUGAUUUCUACCGAGAUCUUUACAUAAAUAGCCAUGCGGAUUCACUAUUUAAUUUUCUAAUAUGGGUGGAACAAGGUGUUGAGUGGGCAACUAUUUAGAUUAAUUCUUCAUUUCUUUUCUGAUAAUUAGCAAUGAGUAAAUAGCCUAAUUUUCUUAUUUCAACUUUCGAGGUUUUCUACUCUUUCAGAUCAUCCCCAAAUAUUAUUAGCUUUCAUGCAAAAGCAGAGCUAAGAUUUGAAUCUUAUAAGUUCGGAAUUAUAAUCCUCUUAAGUUACUGAAUUCUAAAUUAAUAAUUUGUAUAUAUUUAUUGAAUUUUUUAAUAGAUAAUUUAAAUAAAAGCUAUUGGGUUCGACAGAAUUCGUAACCAACACAGUGUCUCCACCCCGGCUUUAAUGUAUGUCACAACAAUAGGAAUUGUAGGAAAAUAGGUACCACCAUCAACCUCUCUUUGGAACUAUUAUUAGAUUAUGACAUCAUUUCCACGGACUCUUAUAAGGCUAUUUUUUAAAUCCAUUUGUCUAAUGGGAUAAAUUUCGUUUUUAAAAGUAAUUAAUUAGUUAACCAGUCUUUUCAUUUUUCUGAGAAGCAUUUUGUCAUUAUCCAUAGUCAGUUAAAAAGGUUAAAUGGCAGUGUUCCCGAAUGUAAGAAAAAGCCUUAUUAUCAGAAAAUUUAUUUAAUUUAUGUCAUCUUACAAGUCAAUGCUUAGACUUAAGAAGAUAAAUUGAUUAUAUAAUUUUUUUAAAAAAAUAAUAAGAGUUGAAAUUUCCCAAGGCCACUCAUGCAGCAGCACCUGAUCCCAUGAACCUCUUCGUUGGCCACCAAAUAAGUAACAUAAAUUUAAUUCUUACGCGAUCAAAAUUAAUGUGGGUCAAUAAUUUUUAAAUAAUUUCUAAUAAUUUAAUAAAUCGAAUCUUCCCAAAAAAAAACCCUCUAAUCUCUUAAGUCCACUAUAGCCUCAUAAAAUAUCUAAUUUGACUUUAAUUGAGUCAAAUCGAACACUAAACAUUGCACUUUGAGCUAAAUUUACCAUCACCGGCUAUCAUAAGGAUCCUCCACUCUUAAUCAGAGGUUUCGAAUUCGAUCAAAUUUUGGAAUAAGAAAAUUCAGAGAAGAAGCAUUGUCAGAAUUCCAAGGCGUGUACCGAACACCGGAUAAAAAAUAAAAUAAAAACAUAUAACAUGAACCUAUAUACCCCUAUGAUGAUUUACCUAUUCCAUCUUAGUUGCUAAUAUAAUAUACGGAAAAUGGCAAAAUAUACCCAUGUACUAUCAGAAAAGGUCUAAAUAUACCCAUCGUUAUACUUUGAGUCCAAAUAUACCUCUGCCGUAAUACUAUUGGUUCAAAUAUACCCCUUUUUUGUUAUGCUUGUCCAAGGUGGACAUCCAAUCCUAUGUGACAGUGACUCUAAUAUUUGAUGAGGUGGAUGCCACAUGACUUGCCACCUCAGCGCCCCUAACCUAUUUUACUCCUCACUUCUAAUUUUUUCACCACUAAUAUUUCCUUCCCCUCCACCACUAUUGCCACCAUUACCGCUAUCAUGAAAAAUAUUGUAUUAUAAAUUUUAGUCUUUUAUAUAUGGAUUAAUUAGGGGCGCUAAGGUGGCAAGCCAUGUGGCAUCCACCUCAUCAAAUAUUAGUACCACGUAGGAUUAGAUGUCCACCUUGGACAAACUUAACAGAAGAUAGGUUUAUUUAAACCAAUAGUAUUACGACAAAAGUUUUGGACCCAAAGUAUAACGAAUGUUAUAUUUAAACCUUUUCUUAUAGUACAUGGGUAUAUUUAAGCAUUUGCCGUAUAAUAUAAUUACCCCUUAAAACAAAAAAUAAAAUAAAAUAAGAAUUGAAAGUAAUUAAAUUAAUAAGCAUGGUUAGUUGUGGCUUCACUAACUGUUAGCGUACACCAAGUGGCAUUUGUUGGCUUUGACUCAUCUCCAAUAUAUAUUUUCUAAUUUGUUUAUAGUUUAUUGACAACUUGUUUAUUGUUAUUAUUAUAUUGUAAUCAUCAUCAUUUUUUUGUUUACUAUAAUACGUUUUAAUUAGGUUUAGUCUAUUUCUAGGUUUACUGUGUAGAUAAAUCUCUCUAGACUCAUACAAGUGGGGGGUUUUUUUUUGGUCAAAGAGGUUGAACCUCACAGGUCGCUAAUUUGCAUUUUCAUUCAAUUUAUUAUUAUUCUUUCUAACAAUAUUGGUAAAAAUACUAUACAGUCAUCACAAAAGAUGCUAAAUAAGAUAGCUAAUUGAUGAUCUUAUACUAUAGUAAACUACGGAUUUUGAUUAUUAUCCGAUGAAUAUUAUUUGGGCCAACAUAAAAUUUGUAAAAUGAAUUCAACUAUUUUAACUUUUAAAGCUAAAUUAAUUCAACUAUUAUUUGGGCCAUAUCAUUUUUCUUAUAUCUGAAUUAGCAGGCAGAGGCAGAGCUUAGAUUUCAACUUUAUUGGUUCUGAAUUUUAAAACGGCAAUUUCAAGUGCUAAUAACUGGAAUCUAAAUUUAAUAUUUGCACAUAUUUAAUAAAUUUUUUAACACAAAUAUAUUUUUGAGCAAAAGUUACUGGGUUCUACCUAGGGGCGGAUGUACGCUUACCGAAGAAAAUUUUACUAAAAUAUAUGUAUUAAUACUGUAUGGAAACGGUUAACUAGGAAAAAAUGAUAUCACUUGACAUAAAUUGUGUCUUGAUAUGUUUGUUAUGUGCUUGAUUUUACUCUAAGAGGUAAGGUUCAAAUCUCACCUAGUACAUUUUUUACAGAAAUUCCUACUUAAUCCCCUGGUUCUACCGACCCCUAGCCAUACUUCUAGCUCAUUAUAGACCAAUAUAAGUAAACGGUUGACUAUAAUGAACAAAUUGCACCUCAUUAUAGACAAAAAAAAAAAA